This 465-nucleotide ribosomal RNA is filed under the name Vreelandella stevensii. RNAcentral describes it as "partial 16S ribosomal RNA". It matches the Rfam family "Bacterial small subunit ribosomal RNA", at positions 338 to 795 of the family's 1533-position model. The record is from RNAcentral. Lineage: Bacteria; Pseudomonadati; Pseudomonadota; Gammaproteobacteria; Oceanospirillales; Halomonadaceae.
CCUACGGGCGGCAGCAGUGGGGAAUAUUGGACAAUGGGGGGAACCCUGAUCCAGCCAUGCCGCGUGUGUGAAGGAGGCCCUCGGGUUGUAAAGCACUUUCAGUGAGGAAGAACGCCUGGUGGUUAAUACCCAUCAGGAAAGACAUCACUCACAGAAGAAGCACCGGCUAACUCCGUGCCAGCAGCCGCGGGAAUACGGAGGGUGCGAGCGUUAAUCGGAAUUACUGGGCGUAAAGCGCGCGUAGGUGGCUUGAUAAGCCGGUUGUGAAAGCCCCGGGCUCAACCUGGGAACGGCAUCCGGAACUGUCAAGCUAGAGUGCAGGAGAGGAAGGUAGAAUUCCCGGUGUAGCGGUGAAAUGCGUAGAGAUCGGGAGGAAUACCAGUGGCGAAGGCGGCCUUCUGGACUGACACUGACACUGAGGUGCGAAAGCGUGGGUAGCAAACAGGAUUAGAUACCCCUGUAGUC